This 330-nucleotide ribosomal RNA is filed under the name uncultured bacterium. RNAcentral's name for it is "bacterial SSU rRNA". It matches the Rfam family "Bacterial small subunit ribosomal RNA", at positions 568 to 898 of the family's 1533-position model. The record is from RNAcentral.
CGUGUAGGCGGUAAUGUAAGUCAGACGUGAAAUCCUUUGGCUCAACUGAAGAACUGCGUCUGAAACUGCAUGACUAGAGUGCAGAAGAGGGAAACGGAAUUCCAGGUGUAGAGGUGAAAUUCGUAGAUAUCUGGAGGAACACCGGUGGCGAAGGCGGUUUCCUGGUCUGACACUGACGCUGAGGCGCGAAAGCGUGGGGAGCAAACAGGAUUAGAUACCCUGGUAGUCCACGCUGUAAACGAUGAACACUAGACUGUCGGGAGGGUUCCUUCCGGUGUCGUCGCUAACGCAGUAAGUGUUCCGCCUGGGGAGUACGCUCGCAAGGGUGAA